Scatophagus argus is the source of this 1135-nucleotide long non-coding RNA. RefSeq lists it as uncharacterized. NCBI's taxonomy places the organism in Eukaryota, Metazoa, Chordata, Actinopteri, Scatophagidae. The transcript is spliced from 2 exons. The record is from RefSeq and is a predicted model, not a curated record.
UUAAAAUGUGACAGCACCACCUGCUGGUUGGUGACAUGAACUGAGUCCUGAAAGUUUCAUUUGCCCUGUGUUUGGUUUUGUCUGCCAAUUUCUCUUUUGAGGGAGUUUUGUGACAAAAUAUGAGUUUUAAAAUAAAUUUCUUGUAAAACAGAACAAUUUGUGAGCAAUAGUUAAUAGUUAGUUAAAAAAUGCCAAUAAAACACGAAAAACAAUAAUUGACAGCAAUGUCAAACAAUUAUUUGGCACUGAGGCAGAAUGAUAGAGCCAAAACAUGAAAACAGUUGGCCAACAGUUUUCAUGUUCUCGUCACUACGCAUCAAAUAGAAAAAACUGUUUUGCUAUGAGAGCAGAGAAAUGUAAACACUUUGCUGUGAGCAUAUGAACUUAUGUUUCAAUGAGUUUCUGUAAGUGCAAAUAUGAGAAACCAGCAAUACAAUUUCCUUCUUCUAAGGGCUGGUGCCUUAACAUGAGAAGGUCAAGUUUUUAAAACGAUUUAUUUCCCAUUACACUUUUUUUCUAAGGAUUUCCCUGCUCAUAACAAACUCCAUCAGGCAGUCGGCUGAUGGGAAACGUUCACAGUGUGAGUCUGAAGUUUGUCCAGCUGCAGCCUGGUUUCUACGAAGACGUCUCGUCACGUCAAACAACCAGCUGAAACACAAGGUGAGACAUGUCCUCUGUCCUCCUGGUCUGUCUGCUCCUCACGUUAGCUAACCAGAUCACCCAAACAAGAAACGAAAAAAAAAAAAGAAAUUUGCUUUUUAUGGAGCACAGCAAAAAUCUUCUGUUAAAACAAAGUGAUUUGGUUUUCUUCAUUACAAAAUAUUAUAAGCACAAAAUCAAAGAGCGUUCAUGUGAUUACACAACAUUUUUGAUGACAAAACUAUUCCAGUACUUAAAUAGUCACAGGAAACAUCUGAGAAGAAAAAAACCCUUUAUUGCAUCAUCGUCUCUACUUCUUCACAUUUAAAGGAAUGACGAGGCCUUCGGCUCUGUGGAACGAGUCAUCACACGACCAGGUACACUGUCAGCUGUCAUCAUAAACUAAACCCCGCCCCCUGCCCACAGGUACACUGUCAGCUGUCAUCAUAAACUAAACCCCGCCCCCUGCCCACAGGUACACUGUCAGCUGUCAUCA